UACUCGAGUGGCUAACGGGUGAGUAACACGUGGGUGAUCUGCCCUGCACUUCGGGAUAAGCUUGGGAAACUGGGUCUAAUACCGGAUAGGAGCCAUCUUUAGUGUGGUGGUUGGAAAGUUUUUUCGGUGUAGGAUGAGCUCGCGGCCUAUCAGCUUGUUGGUGGGGUAAUGGCCUACCAAGGCGGCGACGGGUAGCCGGCCUGAGAGGGUGUACGGCCACAUUGGGACUGAGAUACGGCCCAG
This 243-nucleotide ribosomal RNA is filed under the name uncultured Actinomycetales bacterium. Its description in RNAcentral is "partial 16S ribosomal RNA". It matches the Rfam family "Bacterial small subunit ribosomal RNA", at positions 88 to 334 of the family's 1533-position model. The record is from RNAcentral. Lineage: Bacteria; Bacillati; Actinomycetota; Actinomycetes; Actinomycetales.